Molecule: ribosomal RNA, 400 nt
Filed under: Acinetobacter pseudolwoffii
Lineage: Bacteria; Pseudomonadati; Pseudomonadota; Gammaproteobacteria; Moraxellales; Moraxellaceae
Description: bacterial SSU rRNA
Rfam family: Bacterial small subunit ribosomal RNA
Source: RNAcentral
AUGAGCCAAGAUUGGUAGCCUUUAAGCUACUACUGAUUUUAAACUGAAGAGUUUGAUCAUGGCUCAGAUUGAACGCUGGCGGCAGGCUUAACACAUGCAAGUCGAGCGGGGAAAAGUAGCUUGCUACUUUACCUAGCGGCGGACGGGUGAGUAAUGCUUAGGAAUCUGCCUAUUAGUGGGGGACAACAUCUCGAAAGGGAUGCUAAUACCGCAUACGUCCUACGGGAGAAAGCAGGGGAUCUUCGGACCUUGCGCUAAUAGAUGAGCCUAAGUCGGAUUAGCUAGUUGGUGGGGUAAAGGCCUACCAAGGCGACGAUCUGUAGCGGGUCUGAGAGGAUGAUCCGCCACACUGGGACUGAGACACGGCCCAGACUCCUACGGGAGGCAGCAGUGGGGAAUA